GACGAAGGGGGCUAGCGUUGUUCGGAAUUACUGGGCGUAAAGCGCGUGCAGGCGGUUGCCUAAGUCGGGUGUGAAAGCCUUGAGCUCAACUCAAGAAUUGCGCUCGAUACUGGGUGACUAGAGGACCGGAGAGGAUAGUGGAAUUCCCAGUGUAGUGGUGAAAUACGUAGAGAUUGGGAAGAACACCAGUGGCGAAGGCGGCUAUCUGGACGGUUUCUGACGCUAAGACGCGAAAGCGUGGGGAGCAAACAGG
This 253-nucleotide ribosomal RNA is filed under the name uncultured bacterium. RNAcentral's name for it is "partial 16S ribosomal RNA". It matches the Rfam family "Bacterial small subunit ribosomal RNA", at positions 524 to 776 of the family's 1533-position model. The record is from RNAcentral.